AUUUAUAUAGUUUAAAUACAAAAACAUUAUAUUUUCAAUAUAAAAUUAAAAUUAUAUAAUUUUUAUAAAUA
Molecule: transfer RNA, 71 nt
Filed under: Eurysternus inflexus
Lineage: Eukaryota; Metazoa; Arthropoda; Insecta; Coleoptera; Scarabaeidae
Description: tRNA-Glu
Source: RNAcentral